RNAcentral lists this ribosomal RNA (130 nucleotides) under uncultured bacterium. RNAcentral describes it as "partial 16S ribosomal RNA". It matches the Rfam family "Bacterial small subunit ribosomal RNA", at positions 338 to 480 of the family's 1533-position model. The record is from RNAcentral.
CCUACGGGAGGCAGCAGUGGGGAAUAUUGCACAAUGGGCGAAAGCCUGAUGCAGCAACGCCGCGUGAGGGAUGAAGGCCUUCGGGUUGUAAACCUCUUUUAGCAGGGAAGAAGCGAAAGUGACGGUACCU